GACGAACGCUGGCGGCGUGCCUAAUACAUGCAAGUCGAACGCUGAAGGCGGGGCUUUCUUCUCUGGUUGAGUGGCGAACGGGUGAGUAACGCGUGAGUAACCUGCCCUGUAGCGGGGGAUAACUAUUGGAAACGAUGGCUAAUACCGCAUAGUAGUUGAUGUUGCAUGGCAUUUGCUGGAAAGGUGCGGUUGCAUGGCUACCAGUCGGGGCUGCGGUGUAUUUGGUUGGUGUUGAGGUUACGGCUCUCCAAGGCGAGGAUCCGUAUCCAAACUGAGAGGGGGAGCAGCCGGCCUGGGACGGUGACAGGCCACAGACUGACUCGGGAGGCGGCAGGACGGAAUCUGCGGGAAUCGACGGAAGUCUGACCGAGCAACGCGGAGGGAGUGAAGAAGGUUGUCGGGUCGUAAAGCACUGUUGUAAGGGAGUAACGAGUGUGCGAGUGGAAAGUUCACACUGUGACGGUAUCUUACCAGAAAGGGACGGCUAACUACGUG
Molecule: ribosomal RNA, 495 nt
Filed under: uncultured bacterium
Lineage: Bacteria
Description: partial 16S ribosomal RNA
Rfam family: Bacterial small subunit ribosomal RNA
Source: RNAcentral